UACGGGAGGCAGCAGUGGGGAAUAUUGCACAAUGGGCGAAAGCCUGAUGCAGCUAUGCCGCGUGUAUGAAGAAGGCCUUAGGGUUGUAAAGUACUUUCAUCGGGGAGGAAAAAACAAAACUAAUAAUUUUAUUUCUUGACGUUACCCGAAAAAGAAGCACCGGCUAACUCCGUGCCAGCAGCCGCGGUAAUACGGAGGGUGCUAGCGUUAAUCAGAAUUACUGGGCGUAAAGAGCACGUAGGUGGUUUUUUAAGUCAGAUGUGAAAUCCCUGGGCUUAACCUAGGAACUGCAUUUUGAAACUGAAAUACUAGAGUAUCGUAGAGGGAGGUAGAAUUCUAGGUGUAGCGGUGAAAUGCGUAGAUAUCUGGAGGAAUACCUGUGGCGAAAGCGGCCUCCUAAACGAAUACUGACACUGAGGUGCGAAAGCGUUGGGGAGCAAACAGGGAUUUAGAUACC
RNAcentral lists this ribosomal RNA (457 nucleotides) under uncultured bacterium. RNAcentral's name for it is "bacterial SSU rRNA". It matches the Rfam family "Bacterial small subunit ribosomal RNA", at positions 340 to 786 of the family's 1533-position model. The record is from RNAcentral.